AUGUAUGUGCAGCAUGAGAAUCAAAAGCAGAGAGCAAACGACACACACACACACUCACAAACACAGAGACAGGGAGAGAGAGAAAGAGAAAAGAGAAUGGGAUCGACUUCAAUGGCGACGAGCUCUAAUCCGCAAGGGCUUCACCAAGUCUUCGUGUACGGAAGCCUGUUGUCCGACGAAGUUGUUCGAGUUCUACUGAAGCGCGUCCCUCAGUCUUGUCCUGCAAUUCUCGAUGGCUUCCAUAUAUUUAGCAUCAAAGAAUGCGUUUAUCCUGCUAUUAUACCUGUGGAGAAUAAGAAAGUUACUGGGAAGGUAUUAUUGGGUAUCACACUUCCUGAAUUAGAUAUAUUGGACACUUUUGAGGAUGUUGAGUAUAAUAGGUGCACUGUUGAGGUUUCUUUGAUGGAUGGCUCUCAGAAGUUACAGGCUCAUACAUAUGUUUGGGCAAACAGUAGUGAUCCAAACUUAUAUGGUGAUUGGAGUUUUGAGGAAUGGAGACAAGCACACAUUAAAGACUACAUAAAGAUGACCAUGGGGUUCAUGGAAGAACUUGAGCAACCUGAAUCAAAACCAUGAGUGGAAACCUGAAUCUUUCUACCAGCAGAUUGGUUGGCAAUUCAACCAUGCCUUUAUAUUCUUCUUUAUGAUCUUCUCAAUUCUUUAAAUAUAUAUAUAUAUAUAUAUGUUUGCUUUGUGGUAAUCAUUGUUGCCACAUACACAAGACAUUAUGCAUUCCAGAUUCCUGAACUUUGGAUAUAUGUAUGAGAUCACCAAUUGUCCCAAAAGCUUAAAUAAUUAGGAAAUGGACCUAACAAUGUGGUAUCAUUGUAUUCAACAUUGUGGACAUCAUUUUGAGAAAUAUUGACUUUUUGGGGAAUCAUCUUUGCUUCCAGAUUUACAAAAA
Non-coding RNA from Camellia sinensis, 904 nucleotides. The record is from RefSeq and is a predicted model, not a curated record. NCBI's taxonomy places the organism in Eukaryota, Viridiplantae, Streptophyta, Magnoliopsida, Ericales, Theaceae.